Molecule: ribosomal RNA, 706 nt
Filed under: Hypogymnia incurvoides
Lineage: Eukaryota; Fungi; Ascomycota; Lecanoromycetes; Lecanorales; Parmeliaceae
Description: partial 28S large subunit ribosomal RNA
Rfam family: Eukaryotic large subunit ribosomal RNA
Source: RNAcentral
AUGUGACUGUGGAUCGAGCCCAUGUGAAGCCUCUUCGAUGAGUCGAGUUGUUUGGGAAUGCAGCUCAAAAUGGGUGGUAAAUUUCAUCUAAAGCUAAAUACUGGCUGGAGACCGAUAGCGCACAAGUAGAGUGAUCGAAAGAUGAAAAGCACUUUGGAAAGAGAGUCAAACAGUACGUGAAAUUGUUGAAAGGGAAGCGCUUGCAACCAGACCUGUCCGUAGGUGAUCAGCCGCUGUUCUCAGUGGUGCACUCGCUCUGCGAUCAGGCCAGCAUCGGUUCGGGCGGUCGGAUAAAGGCCUUGGGAAUGUAGCUUCCUUCGGGGAGUCUUAUAGCCCUCGGUGCAAUGCGGCCAGCCGGGACCGAGGACCGCGCUUCGGCUAGGAUGCUGGCGUAAUGGUUGUAAGCGACCCGUCUUGAAACACGGACCAAGGAGUCUAACAUCUAUGCGAGUGUUUGGGUGUUAAACCCAUGCGCGGAAUGAAAGUGAACGGAGGUGAGAACCCUUAAGGGCGCAUCAUCGACCGAUCCAGAUGUCUUCGGAUGGAUUUGAGUAUGAGCAUAGCUGUUGGGACCCGAAAGAUGGUGAACUAUGCCUGAAUAGGGUGAAGCCAGAGGAAACUCUGGUGGAGGCUCGCAGCGGUUCUGACGUGCAAAUCGAUCGUCAAAUUUGGGUAUAGGGGCGAAAGACUAAUCGAACCAUCUAGU